GAUGAACGCUGGCGGCGUGCCUAAUACAUGCAAGUCGAGCGAACAGACGAGGAGCUUGCUCCUUUGACGUUAGCGGCGGACGGGUGAGUAACACGUGGAUAACCUACCUAUAAGACUGGGAUAACUUCGGGAAACCGGAGCUAAUACCGGAUAACAUGUUGAACCGCAUGGUUCAACAGUGAAAGACGGUCUUGCUGUCACUUAUAGAUGGAUCCGCGCCGCAUUAGCUAGUUGGUAAGGUAACGGCUUACCAAGGCAACGAUGCGUAGCCGACCUGAGAGGGUGAUCGGCCACACUGGAACUGAGACACGGUCCAGACUCCUACGGGAGGCAGCAGUAGGGAAUCUUCCGCAAUGGGCGAAAGCCUGACGGAGCAACGCCGCGUGAGUGAAGAAGGUCUUCGGAUCGUAAAACUCUGUUAUUAGGGAAGAACAAAUGUGUAAGUAACUAUGCACGUCUUGACGGUACCUAAUCAGAAAGCCACGGCUAACUACGUGCCAGCAGCCGCGGUAAUACGUAGGUGGCAAGCGUUAUCCGGAAUUAUUGGGCGUAAAGCGCGCGUAGGCGGUUUUUUAAGUCUGAUGUGAAAGCCCACGGCUCAACCGUGGAGGGUCAUUGGAAACUGGAAAACUUGAGUGCAGAAGAGGAAAGUGGAAUUCCAUGUGUAGCGGUGAAAUGCGCAGAGAUAUGGAGGAACACCAGUGGCGAAGGCGACUUCCUGGUCUGUAACUGACGCUGAUGUGCGAAAGCGUGGGGAUCAGACAGGAUUAGAUACCCUGGUAGUCCACGCCGUAAACGAUGAGUGCUAAGUGUUAGGGGGUUUCCGCCCCUUAGUGCUGCAGCUAACGCAUUAAGCACUCCGCCUGGGGAGUACGACCGCAAGGUUGAAACUCAAAGGAAUUGACGGGGACCCGCACAAGCGGUGGAGCAUGUGGUUUAAUUCGAAGCAACGCGAAGAACCUUACCAAAUCUUGACAUCCUCUGACCCCUCUAGAGAUAGAGUUUUCCCCUUCGGGGGACAGAGUGACAGGUGGUGCAUGGUUGUCGUCAGCUCGUGUCGUGAGAUGUUGGGUUAAGUCUCGCAACGAGCGCAACCCUUAAGCUUAGUUGCCAUCAUUAAGUUGGGCACUCUAAGUUGACUGCCGGUGACAAACCGGAGGAAGGUGGGGAUGACGUCAAAUCAUCAUGCCCCUUAUGAUUUGGGCUACACACGUGCUACAAUGGACAAUACAAAGGGUAGCGAAACCGCGAGGUCAAGCAAAUCCCAUAAAGUUGUUCUCAGUUCGGAUUGUAGUCUGCAACUCGACUACAUGAAGCUGGAAUCGCUAGUAAUCGUGGAUCAGCAUGCUACGGUGAAUACGUUCCCGGGUCU
This 1372-nucleotide ribosomal RNA is filed under the name uncultured bacterium. RNAcentral's name for it is "bacterial SSU rRNA". It matches the Rfam family "Bacterial small subunit ribosomal RNA", at positions 28 to 1381 of the family's 1533-position model. The record is from RNAcentral.